GCUGGUCAUAGUAGUCAUAUUUUUACACUCAGCUGACUGGCACUGAUAUCCUCAAUACCCUUGACAUCAUCUUAAACAAAUAUGAAUUUCAAAUAUAUCACCGCUUGAGACAAUCCAAGGUACUCUUAGCAAGCAUCCAAUAUUAUCAAUAUCCAUCACAAUCUGUAUGCCUUUUACUUUGAAAACUAGACUUUCAACUUUCACUUUUAUGCAAUCAUAAAAUUCUCUCAUUGAUUUAGGGUAAGUGAGCAAAUCCAAGGAGCAGAUAAAUUUUCAGCCCAUCA
This 284-nucleotide long non-coding RNA is filed under the name Elaeis guineensis (African oil palm). RNAcentral's name for it is "long non-coding RNA (EGUI_LNC072615)". Lineage: Eukaryota; Viridiplantae; Streptophyta; Magnoliopsida; Arecales; Arecaceae. The record is from RNAcentral.